This 253-nucleotide ribosomal RNA is filed under the name uncultured bacterium. Its description in RNAcentral is "partial 16S ribosomal RNA". It matches the Rfam family "Bacterial small subunit ribosomal RNA", at positions 524 to 776 of the family's 1533-position model. The record is from RNAcentral.
UACGUAGGGGGCAAGCGUUGUCCGGAUUUAUUGGGCGUAAAGAGCGUGUAGGCGGCCAGGUAGGUCUGCUGUGAAAACUCGAGGCUUAACCUCGAGCUGUCGGCGGAAACCAUCUGGCUAGAGUCCGGAAGAGGAGAAUGGAAUUCCCGGUGUAGCGGUGAAAUGCGUAGAUAUCUGGAGGAAUACCGGUGGCGAAGGCGGCAUCCUGGACCGACAUUGACGCUGUGGAGCGAAAGCUAGGGGAGCAAACGGG